Molecule: ribosomal RNA, 2921 nt
Filed under: Bacillus cereus
Lineage: Bacteria; Bacillati; Bacillota; Bacilli; Caryophanales; Bacillaceae
Description: bacterial LSU rRNA
Rfam family: Bacterial large subunit ribosomal RNA
Source: RNAcentral
UUAAGUUAGAAAGGGCGCACGGUGGAUGCCUUGACACUAGGAGUCGAUGAAGGACGGGACUAACGCCGAUAUGCUUCGGGGAGCUGUAAGUAAGCUUUGAUCCGAAGAUUUCCGAAUGGGGAAACCCACCAUACGUAAUGGUAUGGUAUCCUUAUCUGAAUACAUAGGGUAAGGAAGACAGACCCAGGGAACUGAAACAUCUAAGUACCUGGAGGAAGAGAAAGCAAAUGCGAUUUCCUGAGUAGCGGCGAGCGAAACGGAACAUAGCCCAAACCAAGAGGCUUGCCUCUUGGGGUUGUAGGACAUUCUAUACGGAGUUACAAAGGAACGAGGUAGACGAAGCGACCUGGAAAGGUCCGUCGUAGAGGGUAACAACCCCGUAGUCGAAACUUCGUUCUCUCUUGAAUGUAUCCUGAGUACGGCGGAACACGUGAAAUUCCGUCGGAAUCUGGGAGGACCAUCUCCCAAGGCUAAAUACUCCCUAGUGAUCGAUAGUGAACCAGUACCGUGAGGGAAAGGUGAAAAGCACCCCGGAAGGGGAGUGAAAGAGAUCCUGAAACCGUGUGCCUACAAAUAGUCAGAGCCCGUUAACGGGUGAUGGCGUGCCUUUUGUAGAAUGAACCGGCGAGUUACGAUCCCGUGCGAGGUUAAGCUGAAGAGGCGGAGCCGCAGCGAAAGCGAGUCUGAAUAGGGCGUUUAGUACGUGGUCGUAGACCCCGAAACCAGGUGAUCUACCCAUGUCCAGGGUGAAGUUCAGGUAACACUGAAUGGAGGCCCGAACCCACGCACGUUGAAAAGUGCGGGGAUGAGGUGUGGGUAGCGGAGAAAUUCCAAUCGAACCUGGAGAUAGCUGGUUCUCCCCGAAAUAGCUUUAGGGCUAGCCUUAAGUGUAAGAGUCUUGGAGGUAGAGCACUGAUUGGACUAGGGGUCCUCAUCGGAUUACCGAAUUCAGUCAAACUCCGAAUGCCAAUGACUUAUCCUUAGGAGUCAGACUGCGAGUGAUAAGAUCCGUAGUCAAAAGGGAAACAGCCCAGACCGCCAGCUAAGGUCCCAAAGUGUGUAUUAAGUGGAAAAGGAUGUGGAGUUGCUUAGACAACUAGGAUGUUGGCUUAGAAGCAGCCACCAUUUAAAGAGUGCGUAAUAGCUCACUAGUCGAGUGACUCUGCGCCGAAAAUGUACCGGGGCUAAAUACACCACCGAAGCUGCGGAUUGAUACCAAUGGUAUCAGUGGUAGGGGAGCGUUCUAAGGACAGUGAAGUCAGACCGGAAGGACUGGUGGAGUGCUUAGAAGUGAGAAUGCCGGUAUGAGUAGCGAAAGACGGGUGAGAAUCCCGUCCACCGAAUGCCUAAGGUUUCCUGAGGAAGGCUCGUCCGCUCAGGGUUAGUCAGGACCUAAGCCGAGGCCGACAGGCGUAGGCGAUGGACAACAGGUUGAUAUUCCUGUACCACCUCUUUAUCGUUUGAGCAAUGGAGGGACGCAGAAGGAUAGAAGAAGCGUGCGAUUGGUUGUGCACGUCCAAGCAGUUAGGCUGAUAAGUAGGCAAAUCCGCUUAUCGUAAAGGCUGAGCUGUGAUGGGGAAGCUCCUUAUGGAGCGAAGUCUUUGAUUCCCCGCUGCCAAGAAAAGCUUCUAGCGAGAUAAAAGGUGCCUGUACCGCAAACCGACACAGGUAGGCGAGGAGAGAAUCCUAAGGUGUGCGAGAGAACUCUGGUUAAGGAACUCGGCAAAAUGACCCCGUAACUUCGGGAGAAGGGGUGCUUUCUUAACGGAAAGCCGCAGUGAAUAGGCCCAAGCGACUGUUUAGCAAAAACACAGCUCUCUGCGAAGCCGUAAGGCGAAGUAUAGGGGGUGACACCUGCCCGGUGCUGGAAGGUUAAGGAGAGGGGUUAGCGUAAGCGAAGCUCUGAACUGAAGCCCCAGUAAACGGCGGCCGUAACUAUAACGGUCCUAAGGUAGCGAAAUUCCUUGUCGGGUAAGUUCCGACCCGCACGAAAGGUGUAACGAUUUGGGCACUGUCUCAACCAGAGACUCGGUGAAAUUAUAGUACCUGUGAAGAUGCAGGUUACCCGCGACAGGACGGAAAGACCCCGUGGAGCUUUACUGUAGCCUGAUAUUGAAUUUUGGUACAGUUUGUACAGGAUAGGCGGGAGCCAUUGAAACCGGAGCGCUAGCUUCGGUGGAGGCGCUGGUGGGAUACCGCCCUGACUGUAUUGAAAUUCUAACCUACGGGUCUUAUCGACCCGGGAGACAGUGUCAGGUGGGCAGUUUGACUGGGGCGGUCGCCUCCUAAAGUGUAACGGAGGCGCCCAAAGGUUCCCUCAGAAUGGUUGGAAAUCAUUCGUAGAGUGCAAAGGCAUAAGGGAGCUUGACUGCGAGACCUACAAGUCGAGCAGGGACGAAAGUCGGGCUUAGUGAUCCGGUGGUUCCGCAUGGAAGGGCCAUCGCUCAACGGAUAAAAGCUACCCCGGGGAUAACAGGCUUAUCUCCCCCAAGAGUCCACAUCGACGGGGAGGUUUGGCACCUCGAUGUCGGCUCAUCGCAUCCUGGGGCUGUAGUCGGUCCCAAGGGUUGGGCUGUUCGCCCAUUAAAGCGGUACGCGAGCUGGGUUCAGAACGUCGUGAGACAGUUCGGUCCCUAUCCGUCGUGGGCGUAGGAAAUUUGAGAGGAGCUGUCCUUAGUACGAGAGGACCGGGAUGGACGCACCGCUGGUGUACCAGUUGUUCUGCCAAGGGCAUAGCUGGGUAGCUAUGUGCGGAAGGGAUAAGUGCUGAAAGCAUCUAAGCAUGAAGCCCCCCUCAAGAUGAGAUUUCCCAUAGCGUAAGCUAGUAAGAUCCCUGAAAGAUGAUCAGGUUGAUAGGUUCGAGGUGGAAGCAUGGUGACAUGUGGAGCUGACGAAUACUAAUAGAUCGAGGACUUAACCAU